UUUUAAUUAUAUAGCAACCUACUCAGUCUG
This 30-nucleotide non-coding RNA is filed under the name Rattus norvegicus (Norway rat). Lineage: Eukaryota; Metazoa; Chordata; Mammalia; Rodentia; Muridae. The record is from RNAcentral.